RNAcentral lists this ribosomal RNA (379 nucleotides) under uncultured bacterium. RNAcentral's name for it is "partial 16S ribosomal RNA". It matches the Rfam family "Bacterial small subunit ribosomal RNA", at positions 338 to 734 of the family's 1533-position model. The record is from RNAcentral.
CCUACGGGUGGCAGCAGUGGGGAAUAUUGGACAAUGGGGGCAACCCUUAUCCAGCGACGCCGCGUGAGUGAAGAAGGCCUUCGGAUUGUAAACCACUGUCAGCGGGGACGAUAAUGAUGGUAUUCAUGGCGGAAGCCACGGCCAACACCGUGCCAGCAGCCGCGGGCAUACGCAGGGGGCAAGCGUUGUCCGGAAUUACUGGGUGUAAAGGGAGCGUAGGCGGGAUGUCAAGUCAGAAGUGAAAAUUAUGGGCUCAACUCAUAAACUGCUUUUGAGACUGAUAUGCUUGAGUGAAGUAGAGGGGAGCAGAAUUCCUGGUGUAGCGGUGAAAUGCGUAGAGAUUUGGAGGAACACCAGUGGCGAAGGCGGCUUCCUGGAC